CUUGUGAAUUCCCCACUCCACUUCCCUCUGUCUGUUGGAUUAAUGAAAUGGACAGCAUUUUAUGGAUGAAUUAUCAGAUCCAGCAAUCUGGGAGCAAAGAGGGAGUGAAAAAAUAACAGAUUAGUCACUACCAGAACUGCUCUGUUCCUUGGCUUGUGCAGGACAUUGCCUCUCUCCCCUAAAGGUGAAGCUCACACCUCCUGGAGUCACAGCCCAAAGCAGAAGAUGGGUUUUGGGAGACCUUACUGAAUUUUGAGGAAUAAUCAUCUGGAGCACAGCACCUACACAUCCCUCCUGCCACCUGGGGCCAGAAUCAGAGAGCUCAGCCCCCAGAUGUGAAACACCUGCUGGGGCUGACCUUUUGCUGACAUCAGUUAAUGUCUCGCUGAUAUUGAAACACCAGGUGGUCAUUUGCAUCUGAAACGUCCGUGGUGAAUUUUACUCCUUUCUCUUCUCCCCUGUUGCCUGGCUGAGAGCAGCGCUGACAACUCCAGCCACUUGAAAAUCAGGGUUCAGGUCUAAAAAGCACAAGCAGAGUGGUUGGAAAAUCACGGUGCUUCCAAAAAUAGGGCAAAUGGAAGUUGUUGAGUUUGCUGUUCCAGGCCCAG
Hirundo rustica (Barn swallow) is the source of this 608-nucleotide long non-coding RNA. RefSeq lists it as uncharacterized. The transcript is spliced from 4 exons. The record is from RefSeq and is a predicted model, not a curated record. Lineage: Eukaryota; Metazoa; Chordata; Aves; Passeriformes; Hirundinidae.